GUCGCACGAGAAAGCCUGGAGCAAUCCCGGUGAGUAAAAUGGCGCACGGGUGAGUAACACGUGGGUGAUCUACCUUCUUGUGGGGAAUAACCCUGGGAAACCGGGGCUAAUACCGCAUAAGCCCGAAAGGGGAAAGCAGCAAUGCGCAGGAAGAGGAGCCCGCGGCCGAUUAGCUAGUUGGUAGGGUAAUGGCCUACCAAGGCUGUGAUCGGUAGCCGGCCUGAGAGGGCACACGGCCACACUGGCACUGAAACACGGGCCAGACUCCUACGGGAGGCAGCAGUGGGGAAUCUUGCACAAUGGGGGAAACCCUGAUGCAGCGACGCCGCAUGAGCGAUGAAGCCCUUCGGGGUGUAAAGCUCUUUCGGCAGGAACGAUAAUGACGGUACCUGCAGAAGAAGCUGCGGUUAACUACGUGCCAACAGCCGCGGUAAUACGUAGGCAGCAAGCGUUGUUCGGAGUUACUGGGCGUAAAGAGUGUGUAGGCGGUUCUCUAAGUUCGGUGUGAAAUCUCCCGGCUCAACUGGGAGGGUGCGCCGAAGACUGGAGGGCUUGAGUAUGGGAGAGGAAAGCGGAAUUCCUGGUGUAGCGGUGAAAUGCGUAGAUAUCAGGAGGAACACCUGCGGUGUAGACGGCUUUCUGGACCAUAACUGACGCUGAGACACGAAAGCGUGGGUAGCAAACAGGAUUAGAUACCCUGGUAGUCCACGCCCUAAACGAUGCAUACUUGGUGUGGGCAGUUCAUUCUGUCCGUGCCGG
RNAcentral lists this ribosomal RNA (759 nucleotides) under uncultured bacterium. RNAcentral describes it as "bacterial SSU rRNA". It matches the Rfam family "Bacterial small subunit ribosomal RNA", at positions 61 to 849 of the family's 1533-position model. The record is from RNAcentral.